CGAACGGGUGAGUAACACGUAGGAACCUGCCGCGUCGUGGGGGAUAACGCUGGGAAACUGGCGCUAAUACCGCAUGUGGUCAUGUGGAAACGCAUGAAGAAAGCAGCAAUCCGCUCGAGGACGGGACCGCGUCCCAUUAGCUAGUUGGUGGGGUAACGGCCUACCAAGGCACCGAUGGGUAGCUGGUUUGAGAGAGCGACCAGCCACACUGGGACUGAGAAACGGCCCAG
This 230-nucleotide ribosomal RNA is filed under the name uncultured bacterium. RNAcentral describes it as "partial 16S ribosomal RNA". It matches the Rfam family "Bacterial small subunit ribosomal RNA", at positions 99 to 334 of the family's 1533-position model. The record is from RNAcentral.